AAAAAGAUAAGCUAAUUAAGCUAAUGGGUUCAUACCUCAUUUAUGAAAGUUUCAAUCUUUCUCUUUUUA
This 69-nucleotide transfer RNA is filed under the name Agelasta perplexa. Its description in RNAcentral is "tRNA-Met". It matches the Rfam family "tRNA". From Rfam's summary of the family: Transfer RNA (tRNA) molecules are approximately 80 nucleotides in length. Their secondary structure includes four short double-helical elements and three loops (D, anti-codon, and T loops). Further hydrogen bonds mediate the characteristic L-shaped molecular structure. tRNAs have two regions of fundamental functional importance: the anti-codon, which is responsible for specific mRNA codon recognition, and the 3' end, to which the tRNAs corresponding amino acid is attached (by aminoacyl-tRNA synthetases). tRNAs cope with the degeneracy of the genetic code in two manners: having more than one tRNA (with a specific anti-codon) for a particular amino acid; and 'wobble' base-pairing, i.e. permitting non-standard base-pairing at the 3rd anti-codon position. Lineage: Eukaryota; Metazoa; Arthropoda; Insecta; Coleoptera; Cerambycidae. The record is from RNAcentral.